Molecule: long non-coding RNA, 717 nt
Filed under: Penaeus monodon (black tiger shrimp)
Lineage: Eukaryota; Metazoa; Arthropoda; Malacostraca; Decapoda; Penaeidae
Description: uncharacterized LOC119599290
Source: RNAcentral
AGAUACUGUUCAUGCAAUAAUCAAUGAGCUUUAGUUUUUGUAUAUUUGAAUUGGCCUAAGUAUUAUAGUAGUUAAAUAUUUCUUGGCUAAUUAAAGAAACGGAAGAAAUACUUGUACAUGAUGAUAAUGCGUACGGGCGGACAGAUUCAUAUUGUUGACUGUACACUUCUGAUUGUAUAGAAGAUUGAAUAUUUCUAAGAUUUAAUGUUAUGAAUCCUUGAGUUAAAUGGUUCCUUCUCCCUUCUAGGAUUACUUCAUAAGUUUACCAUGGCUUCCAAAAGAUACCAGUUAUCAAGUGGAAUCCUCUUAGAACACGACCACCUAUUUUUCAACCAAGAUGAACUGGGGUCCUAUGUCUUUAGUGGACAACAGAAGGCAAGACUCCAGUAAAUUCAGAUAGAUUGCUACAUGGCUGUUAAUAAUUCAAGUUUGCAAGUAUUAACAUUACAUUAUUAUUCAAAUGGAUGAGCUGAGGUCCCAUUCCUUUAAUGGAGCAGACAAGUGAAUUCAGAUUGAGUUGAAAGUAGCAGUCAAUCCAGUUCUUCAGUUUGAAACUUCAAGAUGGCAAAUAAUCCUCAUGAAAGCAGAGCUUUCAAGUAUUGCUACAUGCGGUGCUUGCAUAUGCAUUGACUGUUCUUGAAAUGCUGAAUGUACUAUACACAUGGUAACUUUAAGAUCUACCAUUUUGUGUUUGGAGAAAUAAAUAUCUCGUGUUUA